RNAcentral lists this ribosomal RNA (465 nucleotides) under uncultured bacterium. Its description in RNAcentral is "bacterial SSU rRNA". It matches the Rfam family "Bacterial small subunit ribosomal RNA", at positions 338 to 795 of the family's 1533-position model. The record is from RNAcentral.
CCUACGGGUGGCUGCAGUCGAGAAUAAUUCACAAUGGGGGCAACCCUGAUGGUGCAACGCCGCGUGGAGGAUGACGGUCUUCGGAUUGUAAACUCCUGUCAUCUGGGAGAAAGACCUGACGGUAAAUAGCCGGCAGGGUUGAUAGUACCAGAAGAGGAAGGGACGGCUAACUUCGUGCCAGCAGCCGCGGUAAUACGAAGGUCCCGAGCGUUGUUCGGAAUCACUGGGCGUAAAGGGAGCGUAGGCGGCGCGGUAAGUCGGAUGUGAAAUCCCGGGGCUCAACCCCGGAACUGCAUCUGAUACUGCCGUGCUAGAGUAAUGGAGAGGUAGCUGGAAUUAUCGGUGUAGCAGUGAAAUGCGUAGAUAUCGAUAGGAACACUCGUGGCGAAAGCGAGCUACUGGACAUUUACUGACGCUGAGGCUCGAAGGCUAGGGUAGCGAAAGGGAUUAGAUACCCAUGUAGUC